Amblyraja radiata (thorny skate) is the source of this 1359-nucleotide long non-coding RNA. RefSeq lists it as uncharacterized. The record is from RefSeq and is a predicted model, not a curated record. Lineage: Eukaryota; Metazoa; Chordata; Chondrichthyes; Rajiformes; Rajidae. The transcript has 4 exons.
UUGUUCUCUUUUUCAGAUAGAUUGUAAAGUCCUGUACGACGCAGUUAUCUACAAAGUUGGAGAAAAUUGUUUUGGCUUUAAAUUUAUUUGAAAAUUAUAGAAUUGCCUCGCAAAGAACUGAUGGUCAAGGCAACAUGAGAGAUGCUGUCAAACUCAAGUAGGAUUCAGGAACUUUUUGAGCAGUACCGGGCGACUGCAUAGAUUUGAAAUGUUUGGAAUCAUUACAUCAGAAAGUGUGGUGUCAGGUGGAGGUUUGAGGCAAAGGGCUCAGAGUCAAUGGAAGUGAUAAUAAUGGAGGCACUGGAUCAAUGAAGUAGGAUUUCGCCUAGCCCAGCAUAACGGCACCAGUUCCUUCCACCACUGCUCCACGCAGCUGCUGUGGGCUGCGCUCUAUCCACUCGCUCAGCCAUCCUCCACAGGGGCUUCUGCAGCUGCCACCACAAAACACCAAGAUGCGAGAUCCCCGCAACCAUGCCUGUCUCCUCCAGCAGCCACCCAUCUGCUUCCAUGCACCGAGGCUUCCACGGCCCACUUCCCAGGUCAAUCGUGGAACUUUUCGUGGUCGCUUUUCGUGGCCAUGGGAGGUGAGUUUCAGGAAUGUUUACAGCGGCUACGUUUCUGCUUCACCCUCCAUCACCACCACCACCACCAUCAUCAUCAUCGUGAUUGACAAUUAGAGUGCCAUCAAUACUUUUAGGUGUCUUUUUGAUGGAACAAGAAUUAGGUCUGUUCCUUAAAAGAACUCCAAAUUGUUGAUCUUCUCUGAACCCAUACAUUCCAGUUUGCCUGGACAAGUAUGCAGUACAUUUUUCCUUCUUUUUAACCCUUAGAACUUUGUUUGCUCAGGCAAUUAUUUCCAUCAAUUUGUCCUUCCCCAUACACCAUCCUAAAACAAAACCCGGCAUCAAUAGAACAGAAACAUUCAUGUCCAGCACAGUUGACUUUGUCUUAAUAAAACAUAUUUUGAUGUAGUAUUGCCCCAGUCACAACAAGAAUGCCUUGUUGUAUUUGUAUUAACCAAAGAUUUGUGGCCGAGCUCUGCAGUUUCCAAGCAAUACAACAAUGGCACAGAUGCAAGGUGCCGAUAAAACAAAAAGCCAUAAAAGUCAGGAAAGCUAACAAUGACACAAUUGACAAAGACGCAAGAGAUAGUUGUGCAGCAAAGGAAGUAAUACUGUGACAUUGGGCAUGUAAUUAUUUCCAAAACAAGAUUAAUACAGAUAUAAUAAAUAUGAUUUCUGGAUUUACAUCAAAGCUAUGUUUCAGUUAUAUCUAGCUUCCAGUUCUCCAAAGCAAGGCCAGAUAAUCCAUUCAACAAAAUGUAUGCAAAACUGAUUGAUUAUGAAAGUCACUAUGUCC